Molecule: transfer RNA, 67 nt
Filed under: Promecognathus crassus
Lineage: Eukaryota; Metazoa; Arthropoda; Insecta; Coleoptera; Carabidae
Description: tRNA-Asp
Source: RNAcentral
AAAAGAAUUAGUUAAGAAAUAACAUUAGAAUGUCAAACUAAAAUCAUUAAAUUAUUAAUAUUCUUUG